This 320-nucleotide ribosomal RNA is filed under the name uncultured delta proteobacterium B2M56. RNAcentral's name for it is "bacterial SSU rRNA". It matches the Rfam family "Bacterial small subunit ribosomal RNA", at positions 1084 to 1405 of the family's 1533-position model. The record is from RNAcentral. Lineage: Bacteria; Deltaproteobacteria.
GUCUCGCAACGAGCGCAACCCCUAUCUUUAGUUACCAUCAUUCAGUUGGGGACUCUAAAGAUACUGCCCCGGUCAACGGGGAGGAAGGUGGGGAUGACGUCGAGUCCUCAUGGCCUUUAUGUCCAGGGCUACACACGUGCUACAAUGGGCUGCACAAAGGGUCGCGACCUCGCGAGAGUGAGCCAAUCCCAAAAAACAGUCCAUAGUUCGGAUUGGAGUCUGCAACUCGACUUCAUGAAGCUGGAAUCGCUAGUAAUCGCGGAUCAGCAUGCCGCGGUGAAUACGUUCCCGGGCCUUGUACACACCGCCCGUCACACCAU